ACCUGCGCAAGGAUCAUUC
Molecule: ribosomal RNA, 19 nt
Filed under: uncultured Craterellus
Lineage: Eukaryota; Fungi; Basidiomycota; Agaricomycetes; Cantharellales; Hydnaceae
Description: partial 18S ribosomal RNA
Source: RNAcentral